RNAcentral lists this ribosomal RNA (301 nucleotides) under uncultured bacterium. RNAcentral describes it as "partial 16S ribosomal RNA". It matches the Rfam family "Bacterial small subunit ribosomal RNA", at positions 509 to 807 of the family's 1533-position model. The record is from RNAcentral.
CAGUCGCCGCGGUAAUACGGAGGGUGCAAGCGUUAAUCGGAAUUACUGGGCGUAAAGCGCACGUAGGCGGACUUUUAAGUCAGGGGUGAAAUCCCGGGGCUCAACCCCGGAACUGCCUUUGAUACUGGAAGUCUUGAGUAUGGUAGAGGUGAGUGGAAUUCCGAGUGUAGAGGUGAAAUUCGUAGAUAUUCGGAGGAACACCAGUGGCGAAGGCGGCUCACUGGACCAUUACUGACGCUGAGGUGCGAAAGCGUGGGGAGCAAACAGGAUUAGAUACCCGCGUAGUCCCUGUCUCUUAUAC